Molecule: long non-coding RNA, 732 nt
Organism: Anguilla anguilla (European eel)
Lineage: Eukaryota; Metazoa; Chordata; Actinopteri; Anguilliformes; Anguillidae
Exons: 3
Source: RefSeq, a predicted model, not a curated record
UCCCACAAUCCCGCAGGAACUUCCUGCCAUUCCUCAAAGGUCUCGUCUCUGCUUGAUUUGAGCAAAUCCGUCAAGAAGCAGUUUGAGAGGGAAAAAUCAUUCACAUAUUUAUUUAAAUACGAAUCUAAAAAUGGAAUAUAUCAGUCUGGCAUUCACAGCAACAGAACUUAUCAAACCCAAAUGUUCACCGCGUGUUUAGAAUAGGAUUACGUAUACAGUUUAAUGUCUUACUUGACCUCCAAUUAAGGUUGUUAAUGGGCAAAUCUCCUUUACACAAAAAGAACUCAAACCAUAUUUAUUUUACAGAUGAUUUCACACCAGCAUCAAAUGAAGUUAAAAUAAUAAUUAUUUAUUUUUUUAUUUAAAGAGAAGAUUAAUUGAAAUCCGGGAUACACAGCAGGCCCUGGGAAACAGAAUCGGAAAUGGCGGAUAUACACGGGGAAAGCAGCGAGCGCAGGAAGUGGCAGGAAGAAGCAGAUGGCAGCUCUGCUCACUGCGGCGCAUUGCAGUCACCGGGUGCUUUGAUUUCGGACAGAUCCUGGGCGCGAUUCGGGGCGUAAUUACAGCGCGCUGCUCCUUCCAUCUGGCGUAAUUGACGAUGCUGAUUGUUAAUUAUAGCCCUGAAGUAAAUUUACACGGCGGGGGUGGAAAAGCACAGAGCCAGAGCAUCCCCACGAUCCCCACGCCAGCGAGAAAAACUCUGCGGUUCUGCGCGCCUGAAAAGAGGCCUCC